AUUAAACGCUGGCGGCAGGCCUAACACAUGCAAGUCGAACGGUAACAGGAAGAAGCUUGCUUCUUUUCUGACGAGUGGCGGACGGGUGAGUAAUGUCUGGGGAAACUGCCUGAUGGAGGUGGAUAACUACUGGAAACGGUAGCUAAUACCGCAUAACGUCGCAAGACCAAGGAGGUGGACCUUCUGGCCUCUUGCCAUCGGAUGUGCCCAGAUGGGAUUAGCUUGUAGGUGGGGUAACGUCUCACCUAGUCGACGAUCCCUAGCUGGUCUCAGAGGAUGACAGGCCACACUGGAACUGAGACACGGUCCAGACUACUACGGGAGGCAGCAGUGGGGAAUAUUGCACAAUGGGCGCAAGCAUGAUGCAGCCAUGCCGCGUGUAUGAAGAAGGCCUUCGGGUUGUAAAGUACUUUCAGCGGGGAGGAAGGGAGUAAAGUUAAUACCUAUGCUGAUUGACGUUACCCGCAGAAGAAGCACCGGCUAACUACGUG
This 491-nucleotide ribosomal RNA is filed under the name uncultured bacterium. Its description in RNAcentral is "partial 16S ribosomal RNA". It matches the Rfam family "Bacterial small subunit ribosomal RNA", at positions 30 to 507 of the family's 1533-position model. The record is from RNAcentral.